This 568-nucleotide ribosomal RNA is filed under the name uncultured Janibacter sp. Its description in RNAcentral is "bacterial SSU rRNA". It matches the Rfam family "Bacterial small subunit ribosomal RNA", at positions 338 to 916 of the family's 1533-position model. Lineage: Bacteria; Bacillati; Actinomycetota; Actinomycetes; Micrococcales; Intrasporangiaceae. The record is from RNAcentral.
CCUACGGGAGGCAGCAGUGGGGAAUAUUGCACAAUGGGCGAAAGCCUGAUGCAGCGACGCCGCGUGAGGGAUGACGGCCUUCGGGUUGUAAACCUCUUUCAGCAGGGAAGAAGCGAAAGUGACGGUACCUGCAGAAGAAGCACCGGCUAACUACGUGCCAGCAGCCGCGGUAAUACGUAGGGUGCGAGCGUUGUCCGGAAUUAUUGGGCGUAAAGAGCUUGUAGGCGGUUUGUCGCGUCUGCUGUGAAAAUCCGGGGUUCAACCCCGGACUUGCAGUGGGUACGGGCAGACUAGAGUGUGGUAGGGGGGACUGGAAUUCCUGGUGUAGCGGUGAAAUGCGCAGAUAUCAGGAGGAACACCGAUGGCGAAGGCAGGUCUCUGGGCCACUACUGACGCUGAGAAGCGAAAGCAUGGGGAGCGAACAGGAUUAGAUACCCUGGUAGUCCAUGCCGUAAACGUUGGGCGCUAGGUGUGGGACUCAUUCCACGAGUUCCGUGCCGCAGCUAACGCAUUAAGCGCCCCGCCUGGGGAGUACGGCCGCAAGGCUAAAACUCAAAGGAAUUGACGG